This is a non-coding RNA of Paraburkholderia phenazinium, 2879 nucleotides long. The record is from Rfam. Lineage: Bacteria; Pseudomonadati; Pseudomonadota; Betaproteobacteria; Burkholderiales; Burkholderiaceae.
GGUCAAGCGAACAAGUGCAUGUGGUGGAUGCCUUGGCGAUCACAGGCGAUGAAGGACGCGGUAGCCUGCGAAAAGCUACGGGGAGCUGGCAAACGAGCUUUGAUCCGUAGAUGUCCGAAUGGGGAAACCCACUCCGAAUGGAGUAUCCAUGACUGAAUCCAUAGGUCAUGCGAAGCGAACGCGGCGAACUGAAACAUCUAAGUAGCCGCAGGAAAAGAAAUCAACCGAGAUUCCCAGAGUAGUGGCGAGCGAAAUGGGACCAGCCUGUACUCUUUAUCUUUACUGUUAGUCGAAGGCUCUGGAAAGUGCCGCCAUAGCAGGUGAUAGCCCUGUAGACGAAAGCAGUUUGGAAGAACUAGGUGUACGACAAGUAGGGCGGGACACGUGAAAUCCUGUCUGAAGAUGGGGGGACCAUCCUCCAAGGCUAAAUACUCGUGAUCGACCGAUAGUGAACCAGUACCGUGAGGGAAAGGCGAAAAGAACCCCGGGAGGGGAGUGAAACAGAUCCUGAAACCGCAUGCAUACAAACAGUCGGAGCCUCGCAAGGGGUGACGGCGUACCUUUUGUAUAAUGGGUCAGCGACUUACAUUCAGUGGCAAGCUUAACCGAUUAGGGCAGGCGUAGCGAAAGCGAGUCCGAACAGGGCGUUCAGUCGCUGGGUGUAGACCCGAAACCAGGUGAUCUAUCCAUGGCCAGGAUGAAGGUGCGGUAACACGUACUGGAGGUCCGAACCCACUAACGUUGAAAAGUUAGGGGAUGAGCUGUGGAUAGGGGUGAAAGGCUAAACAAACCUGGAAAUAGCUGGUUCUCUCCGAAAACUAUUUAGGUAGUGCCUCGUGUAUCACCUUCGGGGGUAGAGCACUGUCAUGGUUGAAGGGUCCAUUGCGGAUUACUUCGCCAUAGCAAACUCCGAAUACCGAAGAGUGCAAUCACGGGAGACAGACAUCGGGUGCUAACGUCCGGUGUCAAGAGGGAAACAACCCAGACCGCCAGCUAAGGUCCCCAAAUAUUGCUAAGUGGGAAACGAAGUGGGAAGGCUAAAACAGUCAGGAGGUUGGCUUAGAAGCAGCCAUCCUUUAAAGAAAGCGUAAUAGCUCACUGAUCGAGUCGUCCUGCGCGGAAGAUGUAACGGGGCUAAGCAAUAUACCGAAGCUGCGGAUGCACAUUUAUGUGCAUGGUAGGAGAGCGUUCCGUAAGCCUGCGAAGGUGCAUUGAAAAGUGUGCUGGAGGUAUCGGAAGUGCGAAUGCUGACAUGAGUAGCGAUAAAGGGGGUGAAAGGCCCCCUCGCCGUAAGCCCAAGGUUUCCUACGCAACGUUCAUCGGCGUAGGGUGAGUCGGCCCCUAAGGCGAGGCAGAAAUGCGUAGCUGAUGGGAAGCAGGUUAAUAUUCCUGCACCAUUGUUAAAUGCGAUGGGGGGACGGAUCGCGGAAGGUUGUCCGGGUGUUGGAAGUCCCGGUCGCUGCAUUGGAGAAGGUGCUUUGGCAAAUCCGGGCACGGAAUUCAAGGGUGUGGCGCCAUUCACUUAGGUGAAGAAGCAACUGGAAGUGGUUCCAAGAAAAGCCUCUAAGCUUCAGUUUAACAAGACCGUACCGCAAACCGACACAGGUGGGCGAGAUGAGUAUUCUAAGGCGCUUGAGAGAACUCGGGAGAAGGAACUCGGCAAAUUGGUACCGUAACUUCGGGAUAAGGUACGCCCCUGUAGCCUGACUGGCCUGCGCCAGAAGGGUGAAGGGGUUGCAAUAAACUGGUGGCUGCGACUGUUUAAUAAAAACACAGCACUCUGCAAACACGAAAGUGGACGUAUAGGGUGUGACGCCUGCCCGGUGCCGGAAGAUUAAAUGAUGGGGUGCAAGCUCUUGAUUGAAGUCCCGGUAAACGGCGGCCGUAACUAUAACGGUCCUAAGGUAGCGAAAUUCCUUGUCGGGUAAGUUCCGACCUGCACGAAUGGCGUAACGAUGGCCACACUGUCUCCUCCCGAGACUCAGCGAAGUUGAAGUGUUUGUGAUGAUGCAAUCUCCCCGCGGCUAGACGGAAAGACCCCAUGAACCUUUACUGUAGCUUUGCAUUGGACUUUGAACCGGUCUGUGUAGGAUAGGUGGGAGGCUUUGAAGCGUGGACGCCAGUCUGCGUGGAGCCAACCUUGAAAUACCACCCUGGUUUGUUUGAGGUUCUAACCUUGGCCCGUGAUCCGGGUCGGGGACAGUGCAUGGUAGGCAGUUUGACUGGGGCGGUCUCCUCCCAAAGUGUAACGGAGGAGUACGAAGGUACGCUAGGUACGGUCGGAAAUCGUGCUGAUAGUGCAAUGGCAUAAGCGUGCUUAACUGCGAGACCGACAAGUCGAGCAGGUGCGAAAGCAGGUCAUAGUGAUCCGGUGGUUCUGUAUGGAAGGGCCAUCGCUCAACGGAUAAAAGGUACUCUGGGGAUAACAGGCUGAUACCGCCCAAGAGUUCAUAUCGACGGCGGUGUUUGGCACCUCGAUGUCGGCUCAUCUCAUCCUGGGGCUGUAGCCGGUCCCAAGGGUAUGGCUGUUCGCCAUUUAAAGAGGUACGUGAGCUGGGUUUAAAACGUCGUGAGACAGUUUGGUCCCUAUCUGCCGUGGGCGCUGGAUAUUUGAAGGGGGCUGCUCCUAGUACGAGAGGACCGGAGUGGACGAACCUCUGGUGUACCGGUUGUCACGCCAGUGGCAUCGCCGGGUAGCUAUGUUCGGAAGAGAUAACCGCUGAAAGCAUCUAAGCGGGAAACUCGCCUUAAGAUGAGAUAUCCCCGGGGCUUCGAGCCCCUUGAAGGGUCGUUCAAGACCAGGACGUUGAUAGGUCAGGUGUGGAAGCGCAGUAAUGCGUUAAGCUAACUGAUACUAAUUGCCCGUAAGGCUUGAUCCU